This 263-nucleotide ribosomal RNA is filed under the name Tardiphaga robiniae. Its description in RNAcentral is "partial 16S ribosomal RNA". It matches the Rfam family "Bacterial small subunit ribosomal RNA", at positions 517 to 779 of the family's 1533-position model. Lineage: Bacteria; Pseudomonadati; Pseudomonadota; Alphaproteobacteria; Hyphomicrobiales; Nitrobacteraceae. The record is from RNAcentral.
GCGGUAAUACGAAGGGGGCUAGCGUUGCUCGGAAUCACUGGGCGUAAAGGGUGCGUAGGCGGGUUUUUAAGUCAGAGGUGAAAUCCUGGAGCUCAACUCCAGAACUGCCUUUGAUACUGAAAGUCUUGAGUAUGGGAGAGGUGAGUGGAACUGCGAGUGUAGAGGUGAAAUUCGUAGAUAUUCGCAAGAACACCAGUGGCGAAGGCGGCUCACUGGCCCAUAACUGACGCUGAGGCACGAAAGCGUGGGGAGCAAACAGGAUU